UUGAUAUUGAACAGAGUGGGAUCCUCUGAGAAUGGGCUCCCAGUGCAGGGGGAAAGCUCUCAAUGGGUUCUGUGCUAGAAAAUCACUAUCUGGAGGGUGGUCUCUGUUAACCCCUCUGGUGGGAGAAAUAUUUGUUCUCAUCUUUGCUUGUCAUUAAGGACUGUCAAGCAGGAAUGGACUACAUUUCCCAGCAGCCCCUACAUGACUGCUAAUGAACACCUGUCAGUGGAAGUAACAUCACAUCAUUUCAGGGCCGUGUCUUUCCUCACAGGACACAUUGGGUCGUGACUCUUGGAUUUACUAAUAACUUUUAAGUGCGGCCCAGUAUGAGAGGCUGUGGGAGAGGGAGGAAGGGGUGCUGGCUAUGGUCAUGCUGUGCCUACUAACCCACAAGAGACCAGCCAACAAGAGACCAGCCAACAAGAGACCAGCCAACAAGAGACCAGUAGAGUAGCAGCUACAACAGCAGCAGUGGGGUAACUGGCACCCACAGGAGUCUGUCAGAUUUCUUUGCCUCCACCGAAAGACUCUUUAUACAGUCACAGUCGGCAGAAAAGAUUAUGGAAAGCUUGAACACAUUUCUGGGGGUUUUAGGGUCAGGUUUUAUGCGUUAUUACAGUUUUUCUAAUGAAGGUGAAUUGCCCUUUAAGUCACAGUUUCCCUAAGAGACCUUCCCCAAGUACUAGGACCCAGUGUGUAAGAGAGUGAAUUGUGUUGUGGGUGGGUGAAAGAGUUCAAAUGUUGUUUGUGAAUUAUGUGAUGUUAAUGAGAGUUUGUAUGUAAAACUGUGUAAAUGGUUAUUUAAAAAGGCCACUAGGUGGCAGUAGAGUGUUAUAGUUAGAAGCAAUUUUGUUUUUCUACCACUAGAGGGAGUUUCCCCAAAUAGGUAUAAAAGGGCAGCCACACCCAUAGUUGAAGGCUUUUGAUGGGAGGAGGUGAAGUCAUUGAAGAGCUUCACUGAGAAGAAGAACACCGGGCCGGAAUCAGGUAGUUAAUUAGAUAGGAAGUUUCAGUAACAGCUGGCACUAGGUGUCAGAGAUAGGGAGAAAGAAAGGGUAGUCUUUUGCCCCAACAAGGGGCGUAGUCAGAUUAGGAUCCAGGGGAAUAAUUCCCAAGAUAGGGUGACAGUGAUGAGGUUGGUAGGCAAGAGAGGGGGGAAGUAGAAGACUUCAAGUCAAGGUGGCUGGUACCCGCCGGAGUGGUCAAGGGGCACUGGUCGAGUGCCGGAUGAUCAAAGCGGGGGACUGGUGGAAUGGUGAAGGGGUGUAGUGGUGCACCGGAUCAUAUGCAAAUUAGGAUUCAGAUUCGGUUAUGCCGGGCAGAAGGAUUCGGCCGAAUCCUGCUGAA
Molecule: long non-coding RNA, 1347 nt
Organism: Xenopus laevis (African clawed frog)
Lineage: Eukaryota; Metazoa; Chordata; Amphibia; Anura; Pipidae
Exons: 3
Source: RefSeq, a predicted model, not a curated record